GACGAACGCUGGCGGCGUGCUUAACACAUGCAAGUCGAACGGAAAGGCCCUGCUUUCGUGGGGUGCUCGAGUGGCGAACGGGUGCGUAACACGUGAGUAACCUGCCCUAGACUUUGGGAUAACUUCAGGAAACUGGGGCUAAUACCGGAUCGGAGCUCCUGCUGCAUGGUGGGGGUUGGAAAGUUUCGGCGGUUGGGGAUGGACUCGCGGCUUAUCAGCUUGUUGGUGGGGUAGUGGCUUACCAAGGAUUUGACUGAUAGCCGGCCUGAGAGGGUGACCGGCGACAAGGGGACUGAGAGACGGACCAGACUCCUACGGGAGGCAGCAGUGGGGAAUAUUGCACAAUGGGCGGAAGCCUGAUGCAGCAACGCCGCGUUCGGGAUGACGGCCUUCGGGUUGUAAACCGCUGUCGCCUGUGACGAAGCGUGAGUGACGGUAAUGGGUAAAGAAGCACCGGCUAACUACGUG
Molecule: ribosomal RNA, 468 nt
Filed under: uncultured bacterium
Lineage: Bacteria
Description: partial 16S ribosomal RNA
Rfam family: Bacterial small subunit ribosomal RNA
Source: RNAcentral